UGUCUGUUUUAGUUUUGUCUUUUCUUUUGCAGGUCCAAUUUGUCCAGGAUUUUUAAGAUUUGUCCGGUGGGAUUUGGGAAGGAAAGCGAUGCCAUGGAUUUAUAAGAAGCGUCGUUGGGGAGGGAUAUUUUCAUUAUACCGCUACUGUUAUAAAGGUCGAAUUUGAGGGUCACAAUUUUGGCCUUUUGUUGGGCCGGCAGCGCCACACCCAGAGUUCAGAAGGGCGAGGGGGCAUUCCGACAUGGAAACGGCAUCAAAACAUUUUUGGUUUUUAAUGUUUUAGAUGCCAAAGUCGUCGUUUUUCAUUUCGCCGAGUCGGGAAGUAGGAUUUUGUCUGUUUACCGUUGCUGCCAGGAAAAAGUCGAAUUCAAGGGUCGCGAGAUUGACCUUUUGCCGGGUCAGCAGCGGCGCACCUAGGGUUCAGAAGGACGAGGGUGAACCCCAACAUGGAGACGGCAUCCAAACAUUAUAGGAUUUUAAUGUUUUAGGUGCCAAUAGCUUCGGUUUUCGUUGCGCCUAGUAGGGAAGUAGUAGGUUUCGUAGUUUUAUGCUUUUAUUAAUAUGCUUUUCUUUUUCAGGGAUAUUGUCAGUGUUAUCGUUGCUACCAGAAAAAGUCGAAAUUCAAGGGUCACGAUUUUGACCUUUUGCCGGGUCGGCAGCGCCGCACCAAGGGUCAAUAAAAUCGAGGGGGCUUCCUGGAAUAGGGACGGCAUCAAAACAUUGUGGAUUUUUA
Molecule: long non-coding RNA, 733 nt
Organism: Drosophila santomea
Lineage: Eukaryota; Metazoa; Arthropoda; Insecta; Diptera; Drosophilidae
Exons: 3
Source: RefSeq, a predicted model, not a curated record